UGGCGGACUAGGCCGGGGAGCCAGGCGUUCCCUGUAAUCUGAAAUCGCCUCCACGCAGAGGCCGAAGUCAAUCGAGCGGCAUCACCGCCACAGUGUUGGCCCCAAUGCCGGCGCCGAAGCCUUGUCCUGCAGGGCCGAUGGCAACACACCCCAGUCCGAAGGGACUUCCGGCGUGUUUUUAUCAGUCGAACCCCGUCAGGCCCGGAAGGGAGCAGCGGUAGGCCGAACACUCGACGCUUGCAGGGUUGCAGGGCUGAGCCGGCAAUGGAACAACCAGCACAGUGGCCCGGAGAUGUCCACCGACUGACACGUCCGCCA
This 318-nucleotide signal recognition particle RNA is filed under the name Methanobacteriota archaeon. Its description in RNAcentral is "Euryarchaeota archaeon (marine metagenome) signal recognition particle sRNA". It matches the Rfam family "Archaeal signal recognition particle RNA". The record is from RNAcentral. Lineage: Archaea; Methanobacteriati; Methanobacteriota.